UCGAGAAUCAUUCACAAUGGGCGAAAGCCUGAUGAUGCGACGCCGUGUGAGCGAAGAAGGCCUUAGGGUUGUAAAGCUCUUUCGCCAGGGAACAAGGGAUGUCGAUUAAUACUCGGCAAACUUGAGCGUACCUGGUAAAGAAGCACCGGCUAACUCCGUGCCAGCAGCUGCGGUAAUACGGAGGGUGCAAGCAUUAAUCGGAUUUACUGGGCGUAAAGGGCGCGUAGGCGGAAGUGAAAGUCAGAUGUGAAAGCCCGAAGCUCAACUUCGGAACUGCAUCCGAAACUCCAUUUCUCGAGGGUAGACGGAGAAGACGGAAUUCCACGAGUAGCGGUGAAAUGCGUAGAUAC
This 350-nucleotide ribosomal RNA is filed under the name uncultured bacterium. RNAcentral describes it as "bacterial SSU rRNA". It matches the Rfam family "Bacterial small subunit ribosomal RNA", at positions 355 to 697 of the family's 1533-position model. The record is from RNAcentral.